UGUUAAUUAUUAGCUAUUAUUAUUACUUAGACAUAUUACAAUUAAAUUCUAGAACAAUGAAGAGAAAUGGAAAUGCUUCCAGAGAAUGAGCAUACCUACCAAGGAAAAAUAUUUAGAUUGAUCCCAGGCUUCUUAACAUUGUAAUUACAUUUGAAAACUAAGGACGUUAGAUUCAAUCAACCUUCAGAAUAUUGACCAUAUAAAGAAUCACUUUGAGAAACUCUUGAAGAAUGUAUUGAAAUAAGAAGAUGCAUAAAUAUAUAAGGAAUAUAUGAUGUUGGGCCCCACAUUUUGAGGAUAUUAUAAUAAUUUUUCAAAGCAUGGAUGAAGCAAAAUAUGUAAAUUCUAAAUAGCAUCAACACUGUUUUGAAGCUGGGAGACAACAAAAGAUGAAAAUGGUGUGAACUUGCAAAGUACAAAUAUUGCUAUAUUUAAGAAACCAAUGAAAAAUACGGGGAAACCACGUUUUCAAGAUCUAUUGUUGAUAAUAUAUAAUAUCUUACAAGUUAUUUAAUUCUCUAAUGUAUGGGAAGCAGCGUAGCAUCGUCCUUGCUGUUGCUAUGGUAUUUAUUGCUGUUGAGCCUUCAGGAAACCUCUCUGCAUCUCGGUUUCCUCAUCUAUAAAAUGGAGAUGAUAACUGUACUUACAUCAUGGAGCUGCUAUGAGGAUCAAAGAAGUUAUCAACACUUCAGAAUAUGGCCAGCACAUAGGAACAAUAUAUCUAUUUGCUAAAUCGAAGGAUAAAAAGAAACCUACUUUGUAUGGAAAAGGAGAAAGAAAAGAGUAAGAUUGAACUAUGCUUUGCUGCAUGGUGGGUUUGAUGAAAGUGGAGUCACGCUGAUUGGUGCUCAAGAUAAAUGUCUUAGGGGAAGACUCAUACCCAGUGGAAUUUUUUUUAGUGAAAUAUCGUGGCUCAUGGACUGUGAGAUUUGUCAUUUGUUUUCAAUAAAAUGAUAAAAAUCAUAA
RNAcentral lists this long non-coding RNA (966 nucleotides) under Homo sapiens (human). RNAcentral's name for it is "HSALNT0313243". The record is from RNAcentral. Lineage: Eukaryota; Metazoa; Chordata; Mammalia; Primates; Hominidae.